Long non-coding RNA from Haliotis rubra (blacklip abalone), 975 nucleotides. RefSeq lists it as uncharacterized. The record is from RefSeq and is a predicted model, not a curated record. NCBI's taxonomy places the organism in Eukaryota, Metazoa, Mollusca, Gastropoda, Lepetellida, Haliotidae. The transcript has 2 exons.
GUCCUGGUGGUAACACUAUAGUAAGGCAAUACCGCUGACCUAACCAGAUGUAUGUAUGAACAGAUCUCGGCUGGCUGGCCCAGUGUUGAUUCAUACCCACACCAGCAAGUAAUCUAACUGUGUCACUGAGGAUCAACUCUAUGUGUGAACAUAGUGUUGAAAUCGCACCGUCCUUAAAAUCAGCUGUUGAAAUGACGAGGUUCUAUAUGAUUAAGCGCCGCUUCAUACAACCCGGAAGUCAGGACCAUAUCAGCACGAACUGACUGUGGUACUUACGCAGCCCCUCAAUACACAUUGAUACUCGCUCGUCUUGGACUUUCGUUUCUUCGUCUGGUCCGUUAUAAAAUACGUUAAGGUUACAAUCGCGCUCAGAAAUGUUCUUCCGCUACUUGAUCACGUGAUUGGGCAGAUGAGCAUCCGGAGCUAGGAGUAUUACUGAGGUGUGGCUGGAAGAUCAAGCAUCUAGUACGUGUGUGAUUCCCUCCCAGCCUCUAUCCACCAUAGAAGAGACAUGGAGGACCCUGUCCCAGUCGGAGCAGCAAUUACUGUGCAGAGUUGCGUCCCUUUGGGACACAGCAACCAUUUAUAGUGGAAUCGAACACUAGAUUCGCCCUAUUGAGUGUUCCUGGCUUUGUCAGCACCAUACCAUGUUAGCUGGUUCCACCAGGGGUGAGAGCUGCAUCAUUUCCAUCUCCUCUCACGUCCAGCUGACAGACUGCCAUAACACCAGAAUACCUUACAUGGCUGCAGUGAUGGAAGAACACUCACUUCCUGUACAGAUGCUUGUCACUAUCAUAGGUUUCAUAAGCCAAACAUUUAAAUAUAGAUUUUGGACUGCAUCAAAUAAUUCAUUUUUCACUGAUUAGACACAUGCACUAUGUAUAAAGUUUUGCUAUUAAUUUGAAAAUGUCUAUUUUUGGACAGGUAUUCUCAUGUCCAGAAAACAAGAAGAUAAAAUAGUCUGCCAAGAUGGAA